GAGACGCCGAAAGAAGCCUGUUUGUGUGCUGCGGCCGUGCUGUGACUUUGGAUCUUGUCUUUCAGCCGGCGCCUCGGUUCCUGCCCAGCUGGAUUUGGGGGGCAGCAUUGCCUGGCGCAGGGAGAUCAAAUGAGACUGCAAAGAAGCAUAAAAUGAAUAGACAAUCCAACCAACCAAAGACCGGGGGCAGCAGCAGGCCAGCAAGACGGCAUCUUCUCCUUCCCAGCCUAGAAGCCCUGUGAAAUCGAGGAUCUUCCCCCUAAAACACAUACACACAAGAUAUGUGCAAUCAAGCUGCCACCGCUUGGUAAAAAGCCAUGGUGCCUAACCAAAAAGGAUCAGGAACAGAUCCUUGAAUCAGCUGUCACUUCUAUAGAAUGGGAUUUUUUUUUCCUUCCUCCUUAACCUGCGCUGGAAAUUGCCGUUGGCUUUAUACAUCUCUAUAGAGAGAGGCUAAAGAGUCUUGCGUGAGAAAGAAGCAAUUUACAAUGCAAAUAGAGGCCUGUGAAGGGACGGAUGCUGCUGCUCACUCGUAACAGCUUGCUGCACCUUAAUAGCUGGUUUUAUUUUCUGAUAUUAAUAGAUGAAUUGUUGGCUAACGCUGCCGGAGAUUACUUGCUGAAAGGAAAAAGAAAAGUUCGGAAUAAACUCUGAAGGCAACAGAUCUCGUUUGGAUGUUUUAGCCGCGCACACACACAAACAGAAACCAGGUCAUAUUUACAUAAAAGGAGGAAUCUUAAGCGCGGCAAGUAUCCUGGACGACCACUCUUCGGUACUGCCAGAAAGGAUCAGGACCUGGAGUCUGGCAAGAGGAAGACAGAGGCCUGUGUGGGAAGCGAGUUGUUAUCUUUGGUUAUCUAGCUGUAUGAGUGUAUUGGUCUUCAUAAAGCUAGAUAACCGAAAGUAAAAACUCCUUCAAGAUCGCCGGGGAGCGUGUGAGAAUGAAAGACUACAGCCGAGAGACAGUAAAAACCAGAAAGAUGCUUCUCUGUUCCAAGAGGGUUUCCUUGAGGAAGCUACUGAAGCAGAAAGACAUGAUGGAGACGAGAUCGCCUCCCCUCUUGUCAAAGUGUUAAAAAAAUGUUCUGUCUUACUCUGCGCCUAGCAUUGGAAAUGAAAGUGACAUUUACGCCACAACCCACGUGUGCGCCUCCUCUCUUUUUGUUUAAGGAUGAUCAGGUCUAUCCAGGAAACAGCUCUGGCAUCCCAAACUGAAAUAAUUAGGACGUAUAUAGACCUGACAAAAAUGGAAAGGGGGUGGGGAAUCUGAGGGUCUGUCUUGCCUAAUUGAUUCCGCUAAACGGAAUGCAGGAGAUGUGAACGGCAGGACGCUCCGAUUCCCACGCUCGGGGGCAAGUGAUAAAGCGGGGCCGGGCAGCCUAUGACAGACAGCCCUGUUGGGGGGUGGGGGUAUGAAAAAAACAUCAAGUGCACACACCAUACUCAUCUCCAUCGCUUAAGAAAGUAAAGGCAUUUCCCACCCACAGCCAUCUGCAGCUUCCCAAAUGGCAGCACCAACUGGUCUGUAGCUGCUACAUAGUCUGCUUCUGUUAAUUUUUUAACCACUGUUUAAUCUGGCCAUAAUUAAGUUUGGCUUUCUUCGUUGUUUGAGAUUUUCAGAAUUCAAGGCAAGCUAGUAGAAAGCAAUUCCAAGAAAGUCCCAUGACUGCCUGCCCCUAAUGUCAAAAUCUCAGUCCAUGAGAUUAUGGCCUUG
RNAcentral lists this long non-coding RNA (1714 nucleotides) under Homo sapiens (human). RNAcentral describes it as "non-protein coding LINC00461:48". The stretch from base 838 to 913 matches the Rfam family "mir-9/mir-79 microRNA precursor family". Lineage: Eukaryota; Metazoa; Chordata; Mammalia; Primates; Hominidae. The record is from RNAcentral.